This 211-nucleotide long non-coding RNA is filed under the name Capsicum annuum. RNAcentral's name for it is "long non-coding RNA (CANN_LNC012171)". The record is from RNAcentral. Lineage: Eukaryota; Viridiplantae; Streptophyta; Magnoliopsida; Solanales; Solanaceae.
GGGUGUCUUCUCAGGUGUAUAUGAAGUUUCUGUGUAUGUAUUGAUGAUUGUAGUGUGAGUGUCAAUGUGAGAAUUGAGAUUGUAUGCCAAUGGUGAAAUGGGUCUAGUGUUGUUGUGUUGUUCUUAAAGAAUGGAAGAAUGAAAUGUGAGGUUUAUUUCAUGAAAAUGGUGAGGUGUGUGUUGUUAUUGUGUGUUGGUUGAGAAGAAAGAA